RNAcentral lists this antisense RNA (187 nucleotides) under Allocoleopsis franciscana PCC 7113. RNAcentral's name for it is "Microcoleus sp. PCC 7113 Antisense RNA which regulates isiA expression". It matches the Rfam family "Antisense RNA which regulates isiA expression". Lineage: Bacteria; Bacillati; Cyanobacteriota; Cyanophyceae; Coleofasciculales; Coleofasciculaceae. The record is from Rfam by way of RNAcentral.
GGUAACCGAAGAUAAUGGCUGGGUUCAGAGUCGGGUUAGUAAUGACACGCACGUCACCACCACCGGGUGCCCAAGUGUCAUACACACCACCAAAGAACAUCGCCUUGGCGACCAACAGCAGGGCACCCAAUCCCAACAUGAUCAGGUGGAAGCCCAAGAUGGUGGUCAUCUUGUUCUUGUCUUUCCA